Canis lupus familiaris (dog) is the source of this 4802-nucleotide long non-coding RNA. RefSeq lists it as uncharacterized. The record is from RefSeq and is a predicted model, not a curated record. NCBI's taxonomy places the organism in Eukaryota, Metazoa, Chordata, Mammalia, Carnivora, Canidae. The transcript is spliced from 3 exons.
UCGGCCUCGCCCUGCUCAUCUGCAGAAUGGGAGCUCGGGGCGCCCAGGCCUGUGCGAGCCCCCGGGGCUGUAGAUGACCAGAUCCAGGCCUCCGAUGACCGACCUCUCUUCUGUGACACUUGUGGAGAGUCCCUUCUGCUGCUAGAUUUCAUGCCCAUGGUCCCAGGCAUUAGGACAGGAUGUCGGUGGGACUGAGCUGUCCGCAGCCGGAGCCAGCCCUGCCCUCUGCCUGGCCCUAGGGGGAGUGGGCAUCCGGGUCACGAGGACACACAGGGCUCGGUGCCACCCCGCCCGGAGCGGCCUGGCCAGGAGCUGCCCCAGGGAAGCAGCCUCCACCGUGCCCGCCGUCAGCCAGCAGGGACAGAGGCCAGGAGGCAAGAGGGCCUGGGGCAGGUGACCUGAGUGGUGGCCCUGGCACAGCAUGGGGCAUCCCCUACCUCUGCCUCCCUUGCCCUCCCCGCCCCACCACCUGUCCAUGCCCCUCCCAGGACCUGCACACAUGCCUGAAAGCCCCCUCGAAACCGGGGGCCUGGCUGGGAGUGGGAGAUCUCACUUUCCCCAGAGCCACCUGCGUGUCCACUGUCUUGGCCCACGGGGCAGAGAGGAAACAGGACGACAGGCCAAGGGCCCAUCCGCGGUCACUGGGGCACAGUGGUGGCCCCGGCCACCUGCUGGCCCGGCCCUGCCAGCCCCCAGCCUCACCCGGCCCCACCUCGGUGGCUGACCCCGGAGACAGGACGGGCGCGGGCCCACGGCGCCCAGGCACCCUCAGCCAAGCAGGCCGCCCGGCCACACCCACGCCUGCUUUCUCCUCUCCCUGCCCUCCCCGCCCCCACGGAGGACAGCCGCCCUGGCUCCAUCCCCAGGACUGCUGAGCCACCGGAAUGGAGCGGGUUGUGAGUCAGUCAGCAGGAAGGGACACUUACAGCCACUUGCAUCAGAUGUUCCUGCCGCGUGGCCCCACGGCCAGAAGCCCCAGCUCGUGACCCCAGCUUCUCUGGGGAGCUCCUGGGGCUUGGGGUUCCUGUCCAUGGAUGGCCAGACACGGAGGGACACGUGGAGAAGGCACAGGCUGGGUCGGGCGCCAGCCUCGGACUCCCAACUUCACGUGUCCCCACUACCUACAGCCACCAAGUGCCAAUCCUGGUCCCCACACCCUGAUACCCCUUAGAAGCUACACAGGGACCCAGGUCCUCCCGCACCUGUGCGGGGCUUUAAGGCAGCCCUGUGCCCCCUCUGAGUUUCAGGCCUGGCUCUGGGUAAAGAUCGGGAGCCCCAGCCCUUCCCUCAAAUGCACUGGCUUGUGAGGAUACUGCAGACACCCCGGCGCCGGCCCCACGGCCCUGCCCCACGCACGGCCCGCUGCUCUCUCCCGGUGUGCACGCACCUGCUGGUGCCAGGUGAACAAUACCUGGGAUAUGCUUCUGCACGGGCUUUCACUGAGAAGUGUUCAUUGUUUAUCUGCGGCUCGCGUGUAACCAGGUGUUCUGUAUUUUAUUGGGCUAAAUCUGGGCGCUCUGUCUGCUGGGUCGUGGAGGCCCUGAGCACCCCAGGGCACCCCCCCCCCCAGGAGGUGAACGCUGCACACCCAAGCCCCUGGAUCCCAGGGCUCUGGCCACUCAGCCAGGCCAAGGAGGGGGUGGUCAGAGAGGGCAGCACCCAUCACAGCCUGCUUGCCUCCUGGCUCAAAGGAAGCAGGGCGAAGCAGAGGCCCUAGGGUGGAAGUCAGGGCCUGCCUGGUGCCUCCUCUGGGGUUUUGGGGGAGACCCCACCUAUGACAUAGGUGAGCAUCACCCUGCAGAAGCCAGGGGCUUCUCAGGGCCCGAUGGGCAGAGACUCAGAAAGAGCCGGGUCCCUUCACCUCUCCUACCUCUCCUCCCGAGCCCCCUACAGUAGCUGGGGGAGGGGAGCGGGGAGGCGCGGGAGGGGAAGCCCAGGAGCGAGGGAAGUGCUGCAACCCCUGCAGCAGGCUGGCCUCAGCCCCUGCUUCCUGCUUGUCCGCCUUUUUCAGGCAGCCUCUCCAUCCUAACUGGCCCCUGGUCCCCCAGGGCCACCCUGAGCCCCCUCCCAGGCUGGCUGCCCUCCCUGGUACCCGUUGGGUUGAAAAGUAUCCUCGUCCAGGGCCCUACCUGUCCUGGCCCCCAGCUCUCUGGCCUUUGCCUAGGCGGGAACCAGGGAUGGCACCUCUCGGCCUCCCAGGGACGGGCACCAGGAGCUGGGCAGGUGAGGAGCAGGGGCCAGGGCCUAGUCCUCCUGCCUCACCUGCCACCCCCAGGCAGGUCAGAGGCGGGCGAGGGGUGGGUAGGCGACUGGCUCACACCUCUCAGCCCUCCCUCCCUGGCCCCUGGGCACCCAGCUCCUCGGAAUGGGGCCUUCCUCCAGGAAGCAGGUCGGCCGCCUGGAUCAGCGGCAGGCCCACAGCAGGACGGGGCUGAGCGCCCCCGCUUCCCCGUGCCCACUGGCGGCCCCACUGCCUCGCCCCUGGCCAGCGUGACUCAGGCACCAGGCGCCUGCUCCGAGGCCAGCCCCAGUGCUCAGGCCUGGGGGCUCCGGCACCCCUGGGGGGCUCUGACCAGUCCUGCUCAGGGGGUGCGUGUGGACCAGUUAAGCACAGCUGUGCGGAGCCCUGGACACACCCGAGUGCAAGUGCCUCAGUGCAUCCCGCUGGUGCCGUCCAUGGCUCGGGGUGGGCACAGAAGCCCGGGCCGUGUGCCCAUCCCAGGUGCCCCCACCCGUGUAGAAGCGCCCGUGCGUGCAGCACAGCCCACCCCUGGCACUCACACCAGGGUGAGCUCCCCUCGCGGCCCCCACCGUCCCACGCACAGGGCCGGCGAUCGCAGGACGCGGCUCACCGGGUGGGCAGAAGCCAUGGCUCUCCUCCGGGGGUGAGCCUGCCCCCCAGGGGACACUGGGCGGUGUCUGGGGACCCUUGUGGUUGUCGUGACUGGGGUGCUCCUGCGUCAAGGGGGCGGGGGCCUGGGAUGCUGCUCCACAGCCCACAGUGUGCAGGGCAGCCCCCAGGUCACUCGUGCUGAGCAGGAGGCCUGCCGGAAGGCCCCCGAGGUAGCGGCCACCUCCCUGUCUCCCAGCUAGGCGGUGCCCGCAAGGGGACCACGUGGUCAGGCUGCCUGAGCGCGAGGCAGCCAGUCUGCAUGGUGCCCAGGGCUGGGCCUGGCUUCCGUCUUGGGGAACACAGCUGCCCCCACUGGCUGCGCUCCAGGGUCAGGCUCCGGGACCGAGCCUGCACCCUGGAGGUGUGGCUGCACCUGCAAAGACGGGCGGGAGCCAAGGCCCUUGUUCAUUUCUGUUCCCUGUGGUGGGUGUGGACGGCAACCCCACGCAGGUCCACACGUGACGGCGAACACAGCCAGACGCCCACCCCCACCGGGGGGACAGAACUACUCUAGGUGCUGGGACACCUUCCCCAGAAAGGUGUGUCCACGACCCACGCCUCGGAACCCUGAACGUGGCAUCUGGAAAUUGGGCCUCGGUAGGUGUAAUUCGUUCAGAUGAGGUCGCCCUGAGGCAGUGACGCCAGAAGAGGGGUGGAGAAGACAGCUACCUGAAGGUGAGGCCGGCCUGGGGGAGGGACGGGGACCGCCAGCCAUCACUGGAAGCUGGGAGAAGCAGGAGGGAUCCUCCCCUGGAGGCUCAGAGGGGGGGUGGCCCUGCCGAGACCUUGAUCCCCAGACUCCGGGUCUCCAGAAUCGAGCAUCAACGUCUGUUGUACUAAGGCUCCAGGUGUGCGGGCUCCGCUGCAGAAGCUAGCACAAUCACACAACUCCUGUAGGAGCGCACACGGGCGCACACACGCACACACAAACACAUCCAUUGUUUUCAGCCCUGUUCCACGAGCACUUCCUGUGUGCAGGCCCCACGCUGGGCUCUGGCCGCAGUGAGCAGAUCUGUGCUCUCGUGGAGCCCGCCCUCUGAGGGGGAGCAGUGGCCCAACUGUACCCACCCGAGCCACGAGCCACGCCAAAGUGCCAGGAUAUCUGCAGGUGACCACACGGAUGCACAGAGAGGGCUCUGGCCUGGAGGCAGAGGUGGGAGGGGACAGCCAGGACGAGGGAGGAUGAGGAGACUUCUGGGCAGGCAGGUCUAGCAGCCCCACCCCAGGCACCUGGAGCCAACGUGGAUGUCUACACACACGCGCAGGGGACAGAGGAGGUCGGGGAGGGGGUGUGCUGGCUGCAGUCAGGUGUGGCCUCGGCAGGAGGCACAGAGGCUCCCCCACUGGAAGGGGACAACUCGUCUUCAGGUCAGCAGGGCCUGGUCGGGGGACAGCUGGCCUUGGGUGGCAGGAAGCCUCUAGCCAGAGGAGCUGAGCCCCGGAGGAGAGGCAGGUCGGUCCACCCCACAAGCUUGCACUUCCAUGGGCCAGGGUACGGGGUGAGGGCUCUGCAGCACGGGCUUCGGGGACAGGGGUCACGGGGGCCCUAACCACAAUGGGCUCUUUCUUGGUCCAGGGUCCCUGGUCUCCCUGAAACGCUCCUUUGCAGGACUGAAGGAAGGUCCUGCGCAGACCUCAGCGGUCCGCUUCCCUGCCAGCAGCUGGGCAAACUCUCGGGGAGUCCCCUGGAGGAGGCAGCUGGGUCUCAGAGCCUGUCGGGGUGCAGCAGCGGGACAGCCGGGGCCAGGAUCGGGGCGUGCAAGGGGGCGCGGGCAGGCUGCAGGACCCAUGGGGGCAGAGCCGCAGCAGCUCUGCGGUUGGGGAGCUGCAAGAGGGGCCCUGGGGUGUUCGCGGGAGGGGAGGCUGGCCGGCAUCCUGGGGGCUUGCCAGGGCGCGGGGCCCGGCUCCA